Molecule: unclassified non-coding RNA, 215 nt
Filed under: soil metagenome
Description: partial contains 5.8S ribosomal RNA, internal transcribed spacer 2, and large subunit ribosomal RNA
Source: RNAcentral
AACCAUAGAAACCUGCGGAGUACCUGCGGAGGGAUCAUUACGAAAUUCGGGGCGCUUCGGCGCUCCUUAUUCACCCAACCCUCUGUCUACGUGCACCUUCAUAGCUUCCUCGGCGGGCUCGCCCGCCGCCAGGAACCCACGAAACCCCUUGCAUUAUUGUACACGAAAACUUCUGAUAACAAACCUAAAUUAUCACAACUUUUAACAACGGAUCU